UAUGAAUGAAUUUUCUGAAAAUUUUUUUUUAUUUAUUCUAAAUUUAUAUUUUUGUUGAAAAUAACAAUAAUUUUUCUAAGACUAAAAGACCCUAAAAUUUUUAUAAUUUUAUAAUUAUUUGAUUGGGGAAAUAGUUAAUUGUUUAAAUAUUUUAAAAUAUUUUUAUAAAAGAACUUUUAUUAAAGAAACGUUUGUAAAAUACUCUAGGG
Molecule: ribosomal RNA, 209 nt
Filed under: Avenzoaria philomachi
Lineage: Eukaryota; Metazoa; Arthropoda; Arachnida; Sarcoptiformes; Avenzoariidae
Description: partial 16S ribosomal RNA
Source: RNAcentral